ACCUUACCUACUCUUGACAUCCAGAGAACUUAUCCAGAGAUGGUUUGGUGCCUUCGGGAACUCUGAGACAGGUGCUGCAUGGCUGUCGUCAGCUCGUGUUGUGAAAUGUUGGGUUAAGUCCCGCAACGAGCGCAACCCUUAUCCUUUGUUGCCAGCGGUUCGGCCGGGAACUCAAAGGAGACUGCCAGUGAUAAACUGGAGGAAGGUGGGGAUGACGUCAAGUCAUCAUGGCCCUUACGAGUAGGGCUACACACGUGCUACAAUGGCGUAUACAAAGAGAAGCGACCUCGCGAGAGCAAGCGGACCUCAUAAAGUACGUCGUAGUCCGGAUUGGAGUCUGCAACUCGACUCCAUGAAGUCGGAAUCGCUAGUAAUCG
This 377-nucleotide ribosomal RNA is filed under the name Serratia marcescens. Its description in RNAcentral is "bacterial SSU rRNA". It matches the Rfam family "Bacterial small subunit ribosomal RNA", at positions 968 to 1344 of the family's 1533-position model. The record is from RNAcentral. Lineage: Bacteria; Pseudomonadati; Pseudomonadota; Gammaproteobacteria; Enterobacterales; Yersiniaceae.